Molecule: long non-coding RNA, 755 nt
Filed under: Nicotiana benthamiana
Lineage: Eukaryota; Viridiplantae; Streptophyta; Magnoliopsida; Solanales; Solanaceae
Description: long non-coding RNA (NBEN_LNC034933)
Source: RNAcentral
GACUUUUCUCUAAAACUAACUCUUUAUUAACUUUUCAAGGCAAUCCUAAGUACAGAAAGAUACUAUAAGUCAGCUGGGAGACAAAUACAAGCAAUGAAGCAAAAGACACGAGAGUACUCUCACCUUACCUUAGUCUCUAGCAUACUCUUUUAAAACUCUAAAACCAAAAAAGGGCAUCUGAAAGCUAAGAAGAUACUCAAACUGUAUAAUUUUUCUUCGUUGAGAAAAAACAAAUUAUCAUCAAAAUCGACCACAAUAGUUUAAUAGCCCCCUCAGUCAAACUCGUCGGUCUUCUUAUAAGUUCCAGUCUUCUAUAGACAGUAGACAUACUAAUCUUCCACAUGGGUGACCGUCACCAGAAAAAACAAACACGGGCUUCACUCGAAGUUCCACUGUAUGUCAAUACUCGUUACACUGCCACUGGGUUAGAAACAAAAGAACUCAAUAAUUUCAUAAGUAGAAACAAAGAGAACAGAGAAAAAUCGGAGAACCCAAAGAGACCAAAAGAAGACAGAGAGGAAUUGCAAAAGGCAAACACCACUUUUCUUUACCUAAAAGGAAUCUAAAGUGGCCCAAUUUACGUUCAGCUAGGAAAUAAUGUAAACUAAACAGAGGGGUAAAACAGACCUUUUGAGCCGCACCAGUACGACAAAGUCCUGCUUACUCCCGCUUCUAAAUAGUAGGAACUAGUAUUUAAGUACAAUCCAUCAUGAGAAGAGAAAGAAAAUGAAACAGUGCAAAAUUUUGAGUUAAAU